Molecule: long non-coding RNA, 809 nt
Organism: Ruditapes philippinarum (Manila clam)
Lineage: Eukaryota; Metazoa; Mollusca; Bivalvia; Venerida; Veneridae
Exons: 3
Source: RefSeq, a predicted model, not a curated record
CUGGUAACAUUGAUAACAGAACUUUUUGCCACUCGUCUGCAGCCAGUCGAAAUAUUCGCGUUGAAAACUGAAAUUCGAGGGAUUCGAAAUGAGUUGCAACAUAACCCAAAUACUGGCAAUAUUUCAGAGGGAUGACUUCGAUGAUUAUUGGGGGCGAUUGGACUCUUCUGUUAGGCUUAUAGCAACGAAUGCGCUUGAUACGAAUGAUCAAGCAUCCUUACUAGAGAAAAUAAAUCAGGUAAAAUGUAAUCAUCUACCAAAUCUCAGUGAUAUUGUCAACGGUUAUGGCAUGAAGAAACAAUUAAGCAGAUGUUAAACAUUUUGCGAAGUGCAUGCAAAUACAUCCAUUCUCAGACAAGUGACGGUCCAAAAACCAGGACCUUCAGGGGACAAAAAUAAAAGAAUAAAAGUUGCUGAUGAUAUUCUGGCACGGCUUCAAGCGGGGUUUGAGUCAACGAUGAAAGAACUAUCAGGCGAUUUUAACCCACCAAGUGAAGUGACAGACAUUCGAGCUAAACUAAGAGAUGGCCAUCACGUGGUUGUAACCGGAUGCAACAAUAGCCGUUAUUUUGAGACCGCUCUUGCAGCAAUAAAGGGGAUGGAUUAUAAUUACAAACGAUGUGUAGAAAUGCACAAGUCGUCUGAUUGGCGUCACAUUGAUCCAGAAGAUGUAGACUUGGUUUUAUGUAGAGAUCCAUUUGGUAGAAUUUCCUAUGAUGAAAGCAAAGCUAAAGCCAUGGAUGAUAUAUUUAAAAGCAUGAUGCACUCAACAAAGAGAGAUAGUAGCGAUAAAGCCUUGGACAUUGUGA